This 207-nucleotide ribosomal RNA is filed under the name Bacillus paranthracis. RNAcentral describes it as "partial 16S ribosomal RNA". It matches the Rfam family "Bacterial small subunit ribosomal RNA", at positions 1 to 201 of the family's 1533-position model. Lineage: Bacteria; Bacillati; Bacillota; Bacilli; Caryophanales; Bacillaceae. The record is from RNAcentral.
UUUAUUGGAGAGUUUGAUCCUGGCUCAGGAUGAACGCUGGCGGCGUGCCUAAUACAUGCAAGUCGAGCGAAUGGAUUAAGAGCUUGCUCUUAUGAAGUUAGCGGCGGACGGGUGAGUAACACGUGGGUAACCUGCCCAUAAGACUGGGAUAACUCCGGGAAACCGGGGCUAAUACCGGAUAACAUUUUGAACCGCAUGGUUCGAAAU